CCAGCAAGACCAGCUGUACACGUGGGCAGCGGUCAGCCAGCCCCCCACUCCAUGGAACACUUUGAGGGCCGGGCCCCCUCCCUGGGCACCUGAAGACCCUGUGGCCCCCACCCAGACCUGUGGGAGACGAUAGACCAGGCCUCAUGUACACCGAGGAGGAACACCAGGCAGCCAUCUUGGGGCUGAAGAGACAUCAGAGAGAAGAAGUCGGCCAACUUCAGGAGGAGUCAGUGCUGAAAACAGUGAAGCUGAAAGAGGAGCACGUCAAUGUGAUCCAGCAGUUAGAACAGACCAUUGAGGACCUGCGGACUAAGAUAGCUGAGCUGGAGGAACAGCACCCCUGCUGGACAGAGAUAUUAUUAGCAUUAAGGAGCCGGAGGCUAGUGUGGAGGGGGUCUGUACCGGGAGGUCUGUCAUGUAGACCUACAAACUGAGGAGAGGAUAGUGAAGGAGGUCUGUCAUGUAGACCUACAGACUGAAGAGAGGAUGGUGAAGGUCUGUCAUGUAGACCUACAGACUGAAGAGAGGAUAGUGAAGGAGGUCUGUCAUGUAGACCUACAGACUGAAGAGAGGAUGGUGAAGGAGGUCUGUCAUGUAGACCUACAGACUGAAGAGAGGAUGGUGAA
Molecule: long non-coding RNA, 626 nt
Organism: Oncorhynchus tshawytscha (Chinook salmon)
Lineage: Eukaryota; Metazoa; Chordata; Actinopteri; Salmoniformes; Salmonidae
Source: Ensembl